Long non-coding RNA from Thunnus maccoyii (southern bluefin tuna), 790 nucleotides. RefSeq lists it as uncharacterized. Lineage: Eukaryota; Metazoa; Chordata; Actinopteri; Scombriformes; Scombridae. The transcript has 3 exons. The record is from RefSeq and is a predicted model, not a curated record.
GCAGGUAAAACAACCCUCCUGACACCCUGUGGCUACAUACAGAAACCUCCAGUGGAGCUGCUUGGUGGCCAGCAGUACAUGACUACAGUUGUAGUGGGCAGAUCCCAGGCUGACAACAGUAGCUGUAAUCUCCCAACUCCUCCUCCCCCAUCCCCUCCGACUCCUCCAGUAGCUGUAAACCCAGCAACAGAGCCCUAUUUUAGUUUGGUGACCAUCACACAGUGCACAGGAGGGAGCAGGAGAGAAGAGAGUUGCAAACAGUAACUAACUGAUGAAAAAACCAACACCAUCUGUCUUCGGCUGCAGAUUUGUGGUGAUGUGUGUUCAUGUCAUGGGGCUCUGAACCAUCCAGACAACAUUUGUUGUCAUACUUCACUGUGGUUGGCUCAGCUGUUUCAGAGCGAUGAGGGCAGUGAUGUGACUGGCUGAGAGAAUAUUCAAUAAUCAUCACACCCUCUAAUCCAUAUUCACCUUCACUCAGUCCUUUUGCACGUUGCGCUGCUGCACAUACAUGAGUGUAAAUAGCAGGUGCACAUGGUGGAGACGCCCACAUAGUCCGUGUGCCAGACCUACCAUGUACUCACUCACACACUGGUCGUUACGCUAUCACGGUUUAAAUAGGGCCCACAGUGUGUUUGCCAGGUUUGGUAACAUUUUGUGCUUGUACAGCAACCUCUACAAAACAUGUGGUCAUAGAUCAAAUCUAUCAGCCUGCACUGUAGACUGUAUACCAUGCCAAAUUGCUAAAUGCAAUUAGAAUGCUGAAUGCAUAGCCUUCUUUGGAUAAAUA